GGGUUGUGAGGUUAAGCGACUAAGCGUACACGGUGGAUGCCCUGGCAGUCAGAGGCGAUGAAGGACGUGCUAAUCUGCGAAAAGCGUCGGUAAGGUGAUAUGAACCGUUAUAGCCGGCGAUGUCCGAAUGGGGAAACCCAGUGCAAUUCGUUGCACUAUCGUUAACUGAAUACAUAGGUUAACGAGGCGAACCGGGGGAACUGAAACAUCUAAGUACCCCGAGGAAAAGAAAUCAACCGAGAUUCCCCCAGUAGCGGCGAGCGAACGGGGAGCAGCCCGGAGUCUGAAUCAGCUUGUGUGUUAGUGGAAGCGUCUGGAAAGUCGCAGGGUACAGGGUGAUACUCCCGUACACUAAAACGCACAGGUUGUGAACUCGAAGAGUAGGGCGGGACACGUGGUAUCCUGUCUGAAUAUGGGGGGACCAUCCUCCAAGGCUAAAUACUCCUGACUGACCGAUAGUGAACCAGUACCGUGAGGGAAAGGCGAAAAGAACCCCGGCGAGGGGAGUGAAAAAGAACCUGAAACCGUGUACGUACAAGCAGUAGGAGCCCACUUGUUGGGUGACUGCGUACCUUUUGUAUAAUGGGUCAGCGACUUAUAUUCUGUAGCAAGGUUAACCGUAUAGGGGAGCCGCAGGGAAACCGAGUCUUAACUGGGCGUUAAGUUGCAGGGUAUAGACCCGAAACCCGGUGAUCUAGCCAUGGGCAGGUUGAAGGUUGGGUAACACUAACUGGAGGACCGAACCGACUAAUGUUGAAAAAUUAGCGGAUGACUUGUGGCUGGGGGUGAAAGGCCAAUCAAACCGGGAGAUAGCUGGUUCUCCCCGAAAGCUAUUUAGGUAGCGCCUCGUGAACUCAUCUUCGGGGGUAGAGCACUGUUUCGGCUAGGGGGUCAUCCCGACUUACCAACCCGAUGCAAACUACGAAUACCGAAGAAUGUUAUCACGGGAGACACACGGCGGGUGCUAACGUCCGUCGUGAAGAGGGAAACAACCCAGACCGCCAGCUAAGGUCCCAAAGUCAUGGUUAAGUGGGAAACGAUGUGGGAAGGCCCAGACAGCCAGGAUGUUGGCUUAGAAGCAGCCAUCAUUUAAAGAAAGCGUAAUAGCUCACUGGUCGAGUCGGCCUGCGCGGAAGAUGUAACGGGGCUAAACCAUGCACCGAAGCUGCGGCAGCGACACUAUGUGUUGUUGGGUAGGGGAGCGUUCUGUAAGCCGUUGAAGGUGGCCUGUGAGGGUUGCUGGAGGUAUCAGAAGUGCGAAUGCUGACAUAAGUAACGAUAAUGCGGGUGAAAAACCCGCACGCCGGAAGACCAAGGGUUCCUGUCCAACGUUAAUCGGGGCAGGGUGAGUCGACCCCUAAGGCGAGGCCGAAAGGCGUAGUCGAUGGGAAACAGGUUAAUAUUCCUGUACUCGGUGUUACUGCGAAGGGGGGACGGAGAAGGCUAUGUUGGCCGGGCGACGGUUGUCCCGGUUUAAGCAUGUAGGCGGAUGUUCCAGGUAAAUCCGGAACGUUAUUAACGCUGAGGUGUGAUGACGAGGCACUACGGUGCUGAAGUGACAAAUGCCCUGCUUCCAGGAAAAGCCUCUAAGCAUCAGGUAACAUCAAAUCGUACCCCAAACCGACACAGGUGGUCAGGUAGAGAAUACCAAGGCGCUUGAGAGAACUCGGGUGAAGGAACUAGGCAAAAUGGUGCCGUAACUUCGGGAGAAGGCACGCUGAUGGUAGGUGAAGCGACUUGCUCGUGGAGCUGAAAUCAGUCGAAGAUACCAGCUGGCUGCAACUGUUUAUUAAAAACACAGCACUGUGCAAACACGAAAGUGGACGUAUACGGUGUGACGCCUGCCCGGUGCCGGAAGGUUAAUUGAUGGGGUUAUCCGUAAGGAGAAGCUCUUGAUCGAAGCCCCGGUAAACGGCGGCCGUAACUAUAACGGUCCUAAGGUAGCGAAAUUCCUUGUCGGGUAAGUUCCGACCUGCACGAAUGGCGUAAUGAUGGCCAGGCUGUCUCCACCCGAGACUCAGUGAAAUUGAACUCGCUGUGAAGAUGCAGUGUACCCGCGGCAAGACGGAAAGACCCCGUGAACCUUUACUAUAGCUUGACACUGAACACUGGUCCUUGAUGUGUAGGAUAGGUGGGAGGCUUUGAAGUGUGGACGCCAGUCUGCAUGGAGCCAUCCUUGAAAUACCACCCUUUAAUGGCUGGUGUUCUAACGUGGGCCCGUAAUCCGGGUUGCGGACAGUGUCUGGUGGGUAGUUUGACUGGGGCGGUCUCCUCCUAAAGAGUAACGGAGGAGCACGAAGGUCAGCUAAUCCUGGUCGGACAUCAGGAGGUUAGUGCAAUGGCAUAAGCUGGCUUGACUGCGAGCGUGACGGCGCGAGCAGGUGCGAAAGCAGGUCAUAGUGAUCCGGUGGUUCUGAAUGGAAGGGCCAUCGCUCAACGGAUAAAAGGUACUCCGGGGAUAACAGGCUGAUACCGCCCAAGAGUUCAUAUCGACGGCGGUGUUUGGCACCUCGAUGUCGGCUCAUCACAUCCUGGGGCUGAAGUAGGUCCCAAGGGUAUGGCUGUUCGCCAUUUAAAGUGGUACGCGAGCUGGGUUUAGAACGUCGUGAGACAGUUCGGUCCCUAUCUGCCGUGGGCGCUGGAGAAUUGAGGGGGGCUGCUCCUAGUACGAGAGGACCGGAGUGGACGCAUCACUGGUGUUCGGGUUGUCAUGCCAAUGGCAUUGCCCGGUAGCUAAAUGCGGAAGAGAUAAGUGCUGAAAGCAUCUAAGCACGAAACUUGCCCCGAGAUGAGUUCUCCCUGACUCCUUGAGAGUCCUGAAGGAACGUUGAAGACGACGACGUUGAUAGGCCGGGUGUGUAAGCGCAGCGAUGCGUUGAGCUAACCGGUACUAAUGAACCGUGAGGCUUAACCUUACAACGCCGAAG
Molecule: ribosomal RNA, 2927 nt
Filed under: Klebsiella michiganensis
Lineage: Bacteria; Pseudomonadati; Pseudomonadota; Gammaproteobacteria; Enterobacterales; Enterobacteriaceae
Description: 23S ribosomal RNA
Rfam family: Bacterial large subunit ribosomal RNA
Source: RNAcentral